GGGGCUGUAGCUCAGUGGUAGAGUGCUCGCCUAGCACGUGUGAGGCCCUGGGUUCCAACCUCAGCACCA
This 69-nucleotide transfer RNA is filed under the name Ictidomys tridecemlineatus (thirteen-lined ground squirrel). Its description in RNAcentral is "Spermophilus tridecemlineatus (thirteen-lined ground squirrel) tRNA". It matches the Rfam family "tRNA". Rfam says of the family: Transfer RNA (tRNA) molecules are approximately 80 nucleotides in length. Their secondary structure includes four short double-helical elements and three loops (D, anti-codon, and T loops). The record is from Rfam by way of RNAcentral. Lineage: Eukaryota; Metazoa; Chordata; Mammalia; Rodentia; Sciuridae.